UCUGGCAACACGAGCGAAAAACACUUACAUGUUAACGAGGGGAAAGAAAAUACCACCAGAGCGUCUUUUUUUUUCUUCUUGUUGAUCUUCUUUUUACAUCGUAAUUCCACCGUACGUAACGCCGUGUCCCGAGAAUCUUUCGUUUCUUCUCACUUGGAUAGAUCAAAAAUAAUCACGUACUCUUAUCGCUUAAAUUCGCGCAAAUGAAACCACAAUGAGAAAGAGGGAAUAUAUAAAAAAAAAAAAAAAAAAAAAAAGAAGAAAAAAUAGGUCAUAGCAUAAGUAACGCCGCGUUUUGACUCUAACUUUCAAUGAGAAAAAUUAAUACUUCCGUUUAAUCAUCGAUGUAUGCAUUUACCUACUAUUUCCUUAGCAGUCUAAGGAGGUUCUACUUCAAUCACAGCCUUUAAUGUUUCGACUUCGAACGUUACUUUUCGGCCGGACCUGUGUUCAUUAGAAAAUUCAAAAACGCCGUACGAAAAUUUCUGAAACCAGUUUUGACAUUUUCUCACAUUUAAAACGUAUUCACCGUAUACUUUACAAACGCUUUUAACAGUAUCCUUAGUCGCACUGCCUUUUUUAAGUUUGCAUAGCGUGCAAUGCUGCAAAUGGUUUUCGCUGACAUUCAUCUUAUAACUUCCUUUAAUGUGAAAGAUAUCGAUCUAAUUGUUUCAAUAAUCAGAGAAAAACAGAGGGAGAAGUUCCUAUAAAAACAUCUCAGCGAAACAUGAUACGCAUGUUUAUCUAAAGUAAGAUAAGAAACGAUAUUACUUAUGAUAUGACCUACUAUUUAUUUACAUCUAAACGAAGUGCUGCAUAUUUUACAUUGAGUGGAAAGACGCGUUCUCUUAUUAUUACUUUAUAAUGUAUACUACUUUAUUAUUUAUUGUUUAUUCUUAUUUAUAAUAAAUGUGAAGUUAUUAUUUGACAAAAUUAAAAAUAUAGUUACUUUCAAUAGAUUUUAUUACAUAUAUUAACUCAUAUGUACAUAUGUGUACAUAUGUUUGUUAUUAUCUUUAUAACAAAAAAAAAAAAAAAAGUAUACAUCAUUAAGUAUGAACUUCUGUUUUGGUACAGUUAGUAAAAUCUGUAAAUACUAAGUGCUUCUACAUGUAAUAACAUGUGGCAAUUAUAAAUCUGCAUUUUUAUUGUAUACACCAUCUUGUAAGCUAUACUGUUUUACUGUUUAUAAUACUGUUUAUGCUCUAUUUCUAUCAAUUCACACAUACAAUUAUAACUAAUAUUCCUAUACACUUUCAAAUUAUGCUCAGCUAAAUUAUCAGAACCAUAUAUAUAUAU
This is a long non-coding RNA of Bombus pascuorum, 1299 nucleotides long. RefSeq lists it as uncharacterized. The transcript is spliced from 2 exons. Lineage: Eukaryota; Metazoa; Arthropoda; Insecta; Hymenoptera; Apidae. The record is from RefSeq and is a predicted model, not a curated record.